This 460-nucleotide ribosomal RNA is filed under the name uncultured bacterium. RNAcentral describes it as "partial 16S ribosomal RNA". It matches the Rfam family "Bacterial small subunit ribosomal RNA", at positions 338 to 795 of the family's 1533-position model. The record is from RNAcentral.
CCUACGGUAGUCAGCAGUGAGGAAUAUUGGUCCAUGGACGAGAGUCUGAACCAGCCAAGUAGCGUGCAGGAUGACUGCCCUAUUGGUUGUAAACUUCUUUUAUAAAGGAAUAAAACGAGGCACGUGUGCCUUUUUGCAUGUACUUUAUGAAUAAGGAUCGGCUCACUCCGUGCCAGCAGCCGCGGUAAUACGGAGGAUCCGAGCGUUAUCCGGAUUUAUUGGGUUUAAAGGGAGCGUAGAUGGGUUGUUAAGUCAGUUGUGAAAGUUUGCGGCUCAACCGUAAAAUUGCAAUUGAUACUGGCAGUCUUGAGUACAGUUGAGGUAGGCGGAAUUCGUGGUGUAGCGGUGAAAUGCUUAGAUAUCACGAAGAACCCCGAUUGCGAAGGCAGCUUACUAAACUGUGACUGACAUUGAUGCUCGAAAGUGUGGGUAUCAAACAGGAUUAGAGACCCGAGUAGUC